UCAGUAACACGUAGUCAACAUGCCCAGGGACGUGGAUAACCUCGGGAAACUGAGGAUAAACCGCGAUAGGCCAUGAUUUCUGGAAUGGUUCAUGGCUGAAAUCUAUAUGGCCCCUGGAUUGGACUGCGGCCGAUCAGGCUGUUGGUGAGGUAAUGGCCCACCAAACCUGUAACCGGUACGGGCUCUGAGAGGAGGAGCCCGGAGAUGGGCACUGAGACAAGGGCCCAGGCCCUAUGGGGCGCAGCAGGCGCGAAAUCUCUGCAAUAGGCGAAAGCUUGACAGGGUUACUCUGAGUGAUUCCCGCUAAGGGGAUCUUUUGGCACCUUUAGCAAAUGGUGCAGAAUAAGGGGUGGGCAAGUCUGGUGCCAGC
Molecule: ribosomal RNA, 370 nt
Filed under: unidentified archaeon
Lineage: Archaea
Description: bacterial SSU rRNA
Rfam family: Archaeal small subunit ribosomal RNA
Source: RNAcentral